UACGUAGGGUGCGAGCGUUGUCCGGAAUUAUUGGGCGUAAAGAGCUCGUAGGCGGCUUGUUGCGUCUGCCGUGAAAAUUCACAGCUCAACUGUGGACGUGCGGUGGAUACGGGUAGGCUUGAGUUCGGUAGGGGAGACUGGAAUUCCUGGUGUAGCGGUGAAAUGCGCAGAUAUCAGGAGGAACACCGGUGGCGAAGGCGGGUCUCUGGGCCGGUACUGACGCUGAGGAGCGAAAGCGUGGGGAGCAAACAGG
RNAcentral lists this ribosomal RNA (253 nucleotides) under uncultured bacterium. Its description in RNAcentral is "partial 16S ribosomal RNA". It matches the Rfam family "Bacterial small subunit ribosomal RNA", at positions 524 to 776 of the family's 1533-position model. The record is from RNAcentral.